GUGAAUCAUCAAAUUUUUGAACGCAAAUUGCACUCUCUUCUGAGAGUAAGCCUGUGUGAGGGUCAGUAUUAAUAAAAAUAGGUGUGUUGCUUCUGUGUGACGCUCUGGAGUUUGGGGCAUCUUAAUAUCCUUUAGGUUUUAAGAGGCUUAAGAUUGACUUUUGUUGCGCAUUUUAGAUGUACAUAAAUUCUUUUUUUUUAUCGUCAGUCCUAAUUAUCGUAAAUC
RNAcentral lists this unclassified non-coding RNA (225 nucleotides) under Glomeromycetes sp. RNAcentral describes it as "partial contains 5.8S ribosomal RNA and internal transcribed spacer 2". The stretch from base 1 to 65 matches the Rfam family "5.8S ribosomal RNA", at positions 84 to 154 of the family's 154-position model. Lineage: Eukaryota; Fungi; Glomeromycota; Glomeromycetes. The record is from RNAcentral.